Molecule: non-coding RNA, 105 nt
Filed under: Kineococcus radiotolerans
Lineage: Bacteria; Bacillati; Actinomycetota; Actinomycetes; Kineosporiales; Kineosporiaceae
Also listed under: 1 other name
Description: TPP sequence
Rfam family: TPP riboswitch aptamer (THI element)
About the family: Vitamin B(1) in its active form thiamin pyrophosphate (TPP) is an essential coenzyme that is synthesised by coupling of pyrimidine and thiazole moieties in bacteria. The previously detected thiamin-regulatory element, thi box was extended, resulting in a new, highly conserved RNA secondary structure, the THI element, which is widely distributed in eubacteria and also occurs in some archaea. Analysis of operon structures identified a large number of new candidate thiamin-regulated genes, mostly transporters, in various prokaryotic organisms.
Source: RNAcentral
GCACAACGACAGGGGAGCGCCGUGGGGCGCUGAGAGUGCGGGUUUCCGCAGACCCUCGAACCUGAUCCGGUUCAGACCGGCGUAGGGAGUCGGGACGUCCUCGAC